RNAcentral lists this transfer-messenger RNA (402 nucleotides) under Alistipes sp. It matches the Rfam family "transfer-messenger RNA". Rfam says of the family: Bacterial tmRNA, also known as 10Sa RNA or SsrA, is named for its dual tRNA and mRNA-like properties. Lineage: Bacteria; Pseudomonadati; Bacteroidota; Bacteroidia; Bacteroidales; Rikenellaceae. The record is from RNAcentral. RNAcentral also lists the same sequence under 1 other name.
GGGGGCGACCGGUUUUGACAGCUUGCAGAGUUUGCUGGUAAGCACGUCGAGCAUUGUGUGGGGUCUCGUAAAUCGCAACACUCAAACUACAAAUGGCAAUAAUAGCUAUGCACUCGCUGCCUAAUUUUCAAGGAAAAUUGGCUUAAUCCGCGGGCCCCAGGAGGUCUGUGGACGAGUAUCCCGGUGGGCGACUGCGCCCUUUAGUUGCUCAUCAUAUGGGGUAUCAUCUUUUAAGGGAUAGUGCGGCAUGUGUCUCGGUUGUCGUGCGAAAUUUUAGGGACUGCGGUGUGGGUCAGGUCGUCUGUGGCCAUCCCACGCAAGAGGAUUAAGCGCAGAAUAAACGUGUAGAAAGCCUUCGGGCUCCGAGUUUGGACGCGGGUUCGACUCCCGCCGCCUCCACUU